RNAcentral lists this ribosomal RNA (493 nucleotides) under Nototriton tomamorum. RNAcentral describes it as "partial 16S ribosomal RNA". It matches the Rfam family "Bacterial large subunit ribosomal RNA", at positions 1844 to 2594 of the family's 2925-position model. The record is from RNAcentral. Lineage: Eukaryota; Metazoa; Chordata; Amphibia; Caudata; Plethodontidae.
CAUAAAAGGUCCCGCCUGCCCAGUGACCAUGUUCAACGGCCGCGGUAUUAUGACCGUGCAAAGGUAGCGUAAUCACUUGUCUUUUAAAUAAAGACCAGUAUGAAUGGCAAAACGAGGGCCUAACUGUCUCACUAGACCAGUCAGUGAAAUUAAUCUUUCAGUGCAGAAGCUGAAAUAUUUAUAUAAGACGAGAAGACCCUGUGGAGCUUUAAACCCAAGCUAAUACAUAUAAUAUCAUAGCACCCGGUUUUAGGUUGGGGCGACCAUAAGAAAAAACAAACUCUUAAAACAAUAACAGAAGGACACUUCAAACAAAUAGUAAUACUAAUAUAUUGACCCAAUAUUUGAUCAACGAACCAAGUUACCCCAGGGAUAACAGCGCAAUCCACUCACAGAGCCCAUAUCGACGAGCGGGUUUACGACCUCGAUGUUGGAUCAGGACCACCUACUGGUGCAACAACUAUUAAAGGUUCGUUUGUUCAACGAUUAAAGU